AUGCAGUCGAGGGGCAUCAGUUUGGUUUGCUUGCAAACCAAAGCUGGCGACCGGCGCACGGGUGAGUAACACGUAUCCAACCUGCCUCAUACUCGGGGAUAGCCUUUCGAAAGAAAGAUUAAUAUCCGAUAGCAUAUAUUUCCCGCAUGGGUUUUAUAUUAAAGAAAUUCGGUAUGAGAUGGGGAUGCGUUCCAUUAGUUUGUUGGGGGGGUAACGGCCCACCAAGACUACGAUGGAUAGGGGUUCUGAGAGGAAGGUCCCCCACAUUGGAACUGAGACACGGUCCAAACUCCUACGGGAGGCAGCAGUGAGGAAUAUUGGUCAAUGGACGCGAGUCUGAACCAGCCAAGUAGCGUGAAGGAUGACUGCCCUAUGGGUUGUAAACUUCUUUUAUAUGGGAAUAAAGUUGUCCACGUGUGGAUUUUUGUAUGUACCAUAUGAAUAAGGAUCGGCUAACUCCGUGCCAGCAGCCGCGGUAAUACGGAGGAUCCGAGCGUUUAUCCGGAUUUAUNGGGUUUAAAGGGAGCGUAGGCGGAUUGUUAAGUCAGUUGUGAAAGUUUGCGGCUCACC
Molecule: ribosomal RNA, 570 nt
Filed under: uncultured bacterium
Lineage: Bacteria
Description: bacterial SSU rRNA
Rfam family: Bacterial small subunit ribosomal RNA
Source: RNAcentral